RNAcentral lists this ribosomal RNA (534 nucleotides) under Colletotrichum gloeosporioides. Its description in RNAcentral is "eukaryotic LSU rRNA". The stretch from base 160 to 313 matches the Rfam family "5.8S ribosomal RNA". The record is from RNAcentral. Lineage: Eukaryota; Fungi; Ascomycota; Sordariomycetes; Glomerellales; Glomerellaceae.
ACCCCUUUUUUUGUGAACAUACCUAUAACUGUUGCUUCGGCGGGUAGGGUCUCCGCGACCCUCCCGGCCUCCCGCCUCCGGGCGGGUCGGCGCCCGCCGGAGGAUAACCAAACUCUGAUUUAACGACGUUUCUUCUGAGUGGUACAAGCAAAUAAUCAAAACUUUUAACAACGGAUCUCUUGGUUCUGGCAUCGAUGAAGAACGCAGCGAAAUGCGAUAAGUAAUGUGAAUUGCAGAAUUCAGUGAAUCAUCGAAUCUUUGAACGCACAUUGCGCCCGCCAGCAUUCUGGCGGGCAUGCCUGUUCGAGCGUCAUUUCAACCCUCAAGCUCUGCUUGGUGUUGGGGCCCUACAGCUGAUGUAGGCCCUCAAAGGUAGUGGCGGACCCUCCCGGAGCCUCCUUUGCGUAGUAACUUUACGUCUCGCACUGGGAUCCGGAGGGACUCUUGCCGUAAAAACCCCCAAUUUUCCAAAGGUUGACCUCGGAUCAGGUAGGAAUACCCGCUGAACUUAAGCAUAUCAAUAAGGCGGAGGAA